AUCUAACUGACGAGUCCCAAAUAGGACGGAACGCACAUCCUAGAU
Molecule: non-coding RNA, 45 nt
Organism: Schistosoma haematobium
Lineage: Eukaryota; Metazoa; Platyhelminthes; Trematoda; Strigeidida; Schistosomatidae
Source: Rfam